This 228-nucleotide ribosomal RNA is filed under the name uncultured bacterium. RNAcentral's name for it is "partial 16S ribosomal RNA". It matches the Rfam family "Bacterial small subunit ribosomal RNA", at positions 568 to 795 of the family's 1533-position model. The record is from RNAcentral.
UGCGUAGGCGGAAGAAUAAGUCAGUGGUGAAAUCUUGCAGCUUAACUGUAAAACUGCCAUUGAUACUGUUUUUCUUGAGUAUAGUUGAGGUAGGCGGAAUGUGUAAUGUAGCGGUGAAAUGCUUAGAUAUUACACAGAACACCGAUUGCGUAGGCAGCUUACUAAACUAUAACUGACGCUGAGGCACGAAAGCGUGGGGAGCGAACAGGAUUAGAUACCCUGGUAGUC